This 526-nucleotide ribosomal RNA is filed under the name uncultured bacterium. RNAcentral describes it as "bacterial SSU rRNA". It matches the Rfam family "Bacterial small subunit ribosomal RNA", at positions 777 to 1301 of the family's 1533-position model. The record is from RNAcentral.
AAUAGAUACCCGGGUAGUCCACGCCGUAAACGAUGUCGACUUGGAGGUUGUGCCCUUGAGGCGUGGCUUCCGGAGCUAACGCGUUAAGUCGACCGCCUGGGGAGUAUGGCCGCAAGGUUAAAACUCAAAUGAAUUGACGGGGAGCCCGCACAAGCGGUGGAGCAUGUGGUUUAAUUCGAUGCAACGCGAAGAACCUUACCUACUCUUGACAUCCAGAGAACUUAGCAGAGAUGCUUUGGUGCCUUCGGGAACUCUGAGACAGGUGCUGCAUGGCUGUCGUCAGCUCGUGUUGUGAAAUGUUGGGUUAAGUCCCGCAACGAGCGCAACCCUUAUCCUUUGUUGCCAGCGAUUCGGUCGGGAACUCAAAGGAGACUGCCAGUGAUAAACUGGAGGAAGGUGGGGAUGACGUCAAGUCAUCAUGGCCCUUACGAGUAGGGCUACACACGUGCUACAAUGGCAUAUACAAAGAGAAGCGACCUCGCGAGAGCAAGCGGACCUCAUAAAAGUAUGUCGUAGUCCGGAUUGG